GUUUGUGUUUUUUUUCCUUCUUCUU
Molecule: small RNA, 25 nt
Filed under: Arabidopsis thaliana (thale cress)
Lineage: Eukaryota; Viridiplantae; Streptophyta; Magnoliopsida; Brassicales; Brassicaceae
Description: ATSL122740
Source: RNAcentral